UACGAAGGGGGCUAGCGUUGCUCGGAAUUACUGGGCGUAAAGCGCACGUAGGCGGAUCUUUAAGUCAGGGGUGAAAGCCUGGAGCUCAACUCCAGAACUGCCUUUAAGACUGCAUCGCUUGAAUCCAGGAGAGGUGAGUGGAAUUCCGAGUGUAGAGGUGAAAUUCGUAGAUAUUCGGAAGAACACCAGUGGCGAAGGCGGCUCACUGGACUGGUAUUGACGCUGAGGUGCGAAAGCGUGGGGAGCAAACAGG
This 253-nucleotide ribosomal RNA is filed under the name uncultured bacterium. Its description in RNAcentral is "partial 16S ribosomal RNA". It matches the Rfam family "Bacterial small subunit ribosomal RNA", at positions 524 to 776 of the family's 1533-position model. The record is from RNAcentral.